RNAcentral lists this long non-coding RNA (1375 nucleotides) under Homo sapiens (human). RNAcentral's name for it is "non-protein coding lnc-ITPR3-6:2". The record is from RNAcentral. Lineage: Eukaryota; Metazoa; Chordata; Mammalia; Primates; Hominidae.
AGAGCAAUCUGUGGGCAGCCAGCGCAGGGCUUUCUUCGGAGUUGCUCUCCCAGGAGUCCCACCCACCCUGGAUGAGGGUCAGAAGGGAGGAGGACGUUGGCUGGCCUGCCACAUGCAUCAGUUAAUCAGCAGGAUGAUUAAGCCACUGGACUCCUUCCCUGCCCGGGAUUCCAGGAGGGACUGGCGUGGUCACAAUGUGGACUCAGGAGGUUAGAAUUUUCCUGUGAACCAGGCGGAUGCCCUGCCCGUCCCAAGGCCCUUGGGAGGCUGGGGAGGGGAAGCAGGUGUGGAGAGAGAAUGAAAGCCACCUCCCCAAGCAUGACAGCCUGUCUGGUUCUGUCAGCUCCUACACUGUGACAUGCCCCAUCACCCCCUCAGUCUAGGGGCCCCAGAGGGCAGAAAAGUCAUCCUCACACCCCAUAUCCUGUUAUCUCCAAGGACCGCUGUAAUUUGCUCUUGACUCCCUUGAAUCUGCCCCCUUCUCUCCUUUCCUGUUUCCCUCCCCGACACCCAGCCCCAGCACCUGCUGCCUGGACCCUGUGGCAGCCCCUCCCAGCAGUGCUGCACUCAGAGACAGGGAGUGGGCUUCAAAACCCAGCUACCAGCCAGUCCUCCCAGGCAAAAGCCCUCCAUGGCUUCUCAUUGCUUAAGACAAAGACCAAUCCCUUCCUGUGGCUCCAGGUCCUGCCUGGCCUCAGCCCCAUCUCUUGCCGGGGCCCUUCCUGCUCCAUUACAGCUGCGCUGCUUGCUCCUUCCUGGAGCGUGUUCACUGUGUUCCUUCCUGCCUCUGGGCCUUUUCACUUUCCAUUCCCCAAUGCUUGGAAUGUCAGUUCAAGUGUCACUUCCUCAGGGAAUCCCUCCUGCCUCUCCCUACCUCCCCACCCAUCCCCUACUGCUCUAGCCUCCCUUGGGAGAGCUCCAGUCUUGUAUCAUCACACCGUACUCUCCCACAGCACAUGGCAAAGUUGCAAUAUAACUUAGGUGAAGUGCCAAGGCCUGCGCACACUCACAGAGACCUGCGCCGCUUCCCUCCUCGUGCAGGGUCCCCCUUCGGAGUCUGGAGAAAGGAAGAAUGGCCAGAGGCCACUCCCUCUCCUUGGGAGCUCCUGCCGGGAUGCCAACCUGGGCUUCAGGAUGGGAUGACCUCAGAGGGCAACUCGGAACUGUAAUUAGCCUCCACUGUAAUCCCCGCCACUCCCAACUCAGACUCAGAACUCUGGGGGCUUGGCAGCUCAGCCCAGACCCCCAGCUUCCUCCUCCUAUCCAGCGGGUGUAACAGGCACUCAAAAACUGAUUACUAAACAGGGAAGGGGACUUGGAGGCCUGAUUUGUGGAGAUCUUGAUAAAAUCUUGCCUUAUACAUGUCCUAUUCUUG